RNAcentral lists this ribosomal RNA (244 nucleotides) under Streptomyces griseoruber. RNAcentral describes it as "partial 16S ribosomal RNA". It matches the Rfam family "Bacterial small subunit ribosomal RNA", at positions 576 to 819 of the family's 1533-position model. Lineage: Bacteria; Bacillati; Actinomycetota; Actinomycetes; Kitasatosporales; Streptomycetaceae. The record is from RNAcentral.
CGGCUUGUCACGUCGGUUGUGAAAGCCUGGGGCUUAACCCCGGGUCUGCAGUCGAUACGGGCAGGCUAGAGUUCGGUAGGGGAGAUCGGAAUUCCUGGUGUAGCGGUGAAAUGCGCAGAUAUCAGGAGGAACACCGGUGGCGAAGGCGGAUCUCUGGGCCGAUACUGACGCUGAGGAGCGAAAGCGUGGGGAGCGAACAGGAUUACAUACCCUGGGGGUCCACGCCGCAAACGGUGGGUACUAA